Molecule: ribosomal RNA, 449 nt
Filed under: uncultured bacterium
Lineage: Bacteria
Description: partial 16S ribosomal RNA
Rfam family: Bacterial small subunit ribosomal RNA
Source: RNAcentral
AACGAACGCUGGCGGCAUGCCUAACACAUGCAAGUCGAACGAGAUCUUCGGGUCUAGCGGCGCACGGGUGCGUAACGCGUGGGAAUCUGCCCUUUGGUUCGGAAUAACAGUUGGAAACGACUGCUAAUACCGGAUGAUGACGAAAGUCCAAAGAUUUAUCGCCAGAGGAUGAGCCCGUGUAGGAUUAGCUAGUUGGCGUGGUAAGGGCGCACCAAGGCGAAGAUCCUUAGCUGGUCUGAGAGGAUGAUCAGCCACACUGGGACUGAGACACGGCCCAGACUCCUACGGGAGGCAGCAGUGGGGAAUAUUGGACAAUGGGCGAAAGCCUGAUCCAGCAAUGCCGCGUGAGUGAUGAAGGCCUUAGGGUUGUAAAGCUCUUUUACCCGGGAUGAUAAUGACAGUACCGGGAGAAUAAGCUCCGGCUAACUCCGUGCCAGCAGCCGCCGUAA